Pteropus alecto (black flying fox) is the source of this 119-nucleotide non-coding RNA. NCBI's taxonomy places the organism in Eukaryota, Metazoa, Chordata, Mammalia, Chiroptera, Pteropodidae. The record is from Rfam.
GUCUACGGCCAUACUACACUGAACAAGCCCAAUUCUGUCUGAUCUCGGAAGCUAAGCAGGGUCAGGCCUGGUUCAUACUUGGAUGGGAGACCAGCUAGGAAGACCAGGUGCUGUAGGCG